UACGUAGGGUGCAAGCGUUAAUCGGAAUUACUGGGCGUAAAGCGUGCGCAGGCGGCUUUGCAAGACAGAUGUGAAAUCCCCGGGCUUAACCUGGGAACUGCAUUUGUGACUGCAUGGCUGGAGUGCGGCAGAGGGGGAUGGAAUUCCGCGUGUAGCAGUGAAAUGCGUAGAUAUGCGGAGGAACACCGAUGGCGAAGGCAAUCCCCUGGACCUGUACUGACGCUGAGGUGCGAAAGCGUGGGGAGCAAACAGG
Molecule: ribosomal RNA, 253 nt
Filed under: uncultured bacterium
Lineage: Bacteria
Description: partial 16S ribosomal RNA
Rfam family: Bacterial small subunit ribosomal RNA
Source: RNAcentral